This 292-nucleotide ribosomal RNA is filed under the name uncultured bacterium. RNAcentral describes it as "partial 16S ribosomal RNA". The record is from RNAcentral.
GGACUACCAGGGUUUCUAAUCCUGUUUGCUCCCCUAGCUUUCGCAGUUGAGUGUCAGUAAUGGUCCAGUUACCUGCUUUCGCCAUUGGUGUUCCUCCCGAUCUCUGCGCAUUUCACCGCUACACCGGGAAUUCCAGUAACCUCUCCCAUACUCAAGUCCGACAGUUUCUGUUGGCCUCUCCCAGUUGAGCCGGGAGCUUUCACAACAGACUUAUCAAACCACCUACCUGCCCUUUACGCCUAGUAAUUCCGAGUAACGCUUGCCACCUUCGUAUUACCGCGGCUGCUGGCAC